Molecule: ribosomal RNA, 253 nt
Filed under: uncultured bacterium
Lineage: Bacteria
Description: partial 16S ribosomal RNA
Rfam family: Bacterial small subunit ribosomal RNA
Source: RNAcentral
GACGGAGGGUGCAAGCGUUGUUCGGAUUGACUGGGCGUAAAGGGCGUGUAGGCGGUUGGUCAAGUCUGGUGUGAAAGCCCGGGGCUUAACCCCGGAAGUGCAUUGGAAACUAGCCAGCUGGAGCGCGAGAGAGGAGGGUGGAAUUCCUGGUGUAGCGGUGAAAUGCGUAGAUAUCAGGAGGAACACCGGCGGCGAAGGCGGCCCUCUGGCUCGUUGCUGACGCUGAAACGCGAAAGCGUGGGGAGCAAACAGG